AACGAACGCUGGCGGCAGGCCUAACGCAUGCAAGUCGAACGCCCCGCAAGGGGAGUGGCAGACGGGUGAGUAACGCGUGGGAACAUACCCUUCGGUUCGGAAUAGCUCAGGGAAACUUGGAUUAAUACCGGAUACGUCCGUAAGGAGAAAGAUUUAUCGCCGAAGGAUUGGCCCGCGUCUGAUUAGCUUGUUGGUGAGGUAAUGGCUCACCAAGGCGACGAUCAGUAGCUGGUCUGAGAGGAUGACCAGCCACAUUGGGACUGAGACACGGCCCAAACUCCUACGGGAGGCAGCAGUGGGGAAUAUUGGACAAUGGGCGAAAGCCUGAUCCAGCCAUGCCGCGUGAGUGAUGAAGGCCUUAGGGUUGUAAAGCUCUUUUACCCGGGAAGAUAAUGACGGUACCGGGAGAAUAAGCCCCGGCUAACUUCGUGCCAGCAGCCGCGGUAAUACGAGGGGGGCUAGCGUUGUUCGGAAUUACUGGGCGUAAAGCGCACGUAGGCGGAUUUUUAAGUCAGGGGUGAAAUCCCGAGGCUCAACCUCGGAACUGCCUUUGAUACUGGGAAUCUUGAGUCCGGGAGAGGUGAGUGGAACUGCGAGUGUAGAGGUGAAAUUCGUAGAUAUUCGCAAGAACACCAGUGGCGAAGGCGGCUCACUGGCCCGGUACUGACGCUGAGGUGCGAAAGCGUGGGGAGCAAACAGGAUUAGAUACCCUGGUAGUCCACGCCGUAAACGAUGGAUGCUAGCCGUUAGACAGCUUGCUGUUUAGUGGCGCAGUUAACGCUUUAAGCAUCCCGCCUGGGGAGUACGGUCGCAAGAUUA
Molecule: ribosomal RNA, 819 nt
Filed under: uncultured bacterium
Lineage: Bacteria
Description: bacterial SSU rRNA
Rfam family: Bacterial small subunit ribosomal RNA
Source: RNAcentral